This 669-nucleotide ribosomal RNA is filed under the name uncultured Planctomycetales bacterium. RNAcentral's name for it is "bacterial SSU rRNA". It matches the Rfam family "Bacterial small subunit ribosomal RNA", at positions 97 to 779 of the family's 1533-position model. The record is from RNAcentral. Lineage: Bacteria; Pseudomonadati; Planctomycetota; Planctomycetia; Planctomycetales.
GGCGAAAGGGGCAGUAAUGCAUGGGUAACCUACCUUAAGGUUCGGGAUAGCCAUUCUAACGGAUGGGUAACACUGGACGGUCUGAGUUGUCGGCAUCGAUGGCUCAGUAAAUGUGAAGCCUUAUGAGGGGCCCAUGUGAUAUUAGCUAGUUGGUGAGGUAAUGGCUCACCAAGGCGAAGAUGUCUAGCGGGUGUGAGAGCACGACCCGCGUCACUGGCACUGAGACACUGGCCAGACUCCUACGGGAGGCUGCAGUCGAGGAUCUUCGGCAAUGGACGCAAGUCUGACCGAGCGACGCCGCGUGUGCGAUGAAGGCCUUCGGGUUGUAAAGCACUGUCGAGAGGGAACAAGCCGCAAGGUUGAGUGACCUCUGGAGGAAGGACGGGCUAAGUUCGUGCCAGCAGCCGCGGUAAGACGAACCGUCCAAACGUUAUUCGGAAUCACUGGGCUUAAAGGGCGCGUAGGCGGGCGAUCAAGUCAGGGGUGAAAUCCCCCAGCUCAACUGGAGAAGUGCCUUUGAUACUGGUUGUCUAGAGUGAGGUAGGGGCAUGUGGAACUUCCAGUGGAGCGGUGAAAUGCGUAGAUAUUGGAAGGAACACCAGUGGCGAAAGCGAUGUGCUGGAUCUCAACUGACGCUGAGGCGCGAAAGCUAGGGGAUCAAACGGGAUU